AAGGAAUAUUGGUCAAUGGACGCAAGUCUGAACCAGCCAUGCCGCGUGAAGGAUGAAGGUCCUCUGGAUUGUAAACUUCUUUUAUCUGGGACGAAAACGGGAUUUUUAUCUCAAUUGACGGUACCAGAGGAAUAAGCACCGGCUAACUCCGUGCCAGCAGCCGCGGUAAUACGGAGGGUGCAAGCGUUAUCCGGAUUCACUGGGUUUAAAGGGUGCGUAGGUGGGCAGAUAAGUCAGUGGUGAAAUCUUCCGGCUUAACCGGGAAACUGCCGUUGAUACUAUUUGUCUUGAAUAUUGCGGAGGUCAGCGGAAUAUGUCAUGUAGCGGUGAAAUGCUUAGAUAUGACAUAGAACACCAAUUGCGAAGGCAGCUUACUACACAAUCAUUGACACUGAGGCACGAAAGCGUGGGUAGCGAACA
RNAcentral lists this ribosomal RNA (420 nucleotides) under uncultured bacterium. RNAcentral's name for it is "bacterial SSU rRNA". It matches the Rfam family "Bacterial small subunit ribosomal RNA", at positions 356 to 774 of the family's 1533-position model. The record is from RNAcentral.